This 72-nucleotide transfer RNA is filed under the name Actinomycetes bacterium. RNAcentral's name for it is "tRNA-Gly". It matches the Rfam family "tRNA". From Rfam's summary of the family: Transfer RNA (tRNA) molecules are approximately 80 nucleotides in length. Their secondary structure includes four short double-helical elements and three loops (D, anti-codon, and T loops). Lineage: Bacteria; Bacillati; Actinomycetota; Actinomycetes. The record is from RNAcentral. RNAcentral also lists the same sequence under 1 other name.
GCGGGUGUAGUUCAAUGGUAGAACAUCAGCUUCCCAAGCUGAGAACGCGGGUUCGAUUCCCGUCACCCCGUC